GACGAACGCUGGCGGCGUGCUUAACACAUGCAAGUCGAACGGAAAGGCCCUGCUUUUGUGGGGUGCUCGAGUGGCGAACGGGUGAGUAACACGUGAGUAACCUGCCCUUGACUUUGGGAUAACUUCAGGAAACUGGGGCUAAUACCGGAUAGGAGCUCCUGCUGCAUGGUGGGGGUUGGAAAGUUUCGGCGGUUGGGGAUGGACUCGCGGCUUAUCAGCUUGUUGGUGGGGUAGUGGCUUACCAAGGCUUUGACGGGUAGCCGGCCUGAGAGGGUGACCGGCCACAGUGGGACUGAGAUACGGCCCAGACUCCUACGGGAGGCAGCAGUGGGGAAUAUUGCACAAUGGGCGGAAGCCUGAUGCAGCAACGCCGCGUGUGGGAUGACGGCCUUCGGGUUGUAAACCGCUUUCGCCUGUGACGAAGCGUGAGUGACGGUAAUGGGUAGAGAAGCACCGGCUAACUACGUG
This 468-nucleotide ribosomal RNA is filed under the name uncultured bacterium. RNAcentral's name for it is "partial 16S ribosomal RNA". It matches the Rfam family "Bacterial small subunit ribosomal RNA", at positions 28 to 507 of the family's 1533-position model. The record is from RNAcentral.